Molecule: transfer RNA, 86 nt
Filed under: Streptosporangium carneum
Lineage: Bacteria; Bacillati; Actinomycetota; Actinomycetes; Streptosporangiales; Streptosporangiaceae
Description: tRNA-Leu
Source: RNAcentral
GCCCCGGUGUCCUGCGGGCUGGGCGGCGCUUUGAGGCAGCGCUUCGACGGCGCUUCGAGGCGGCGCUUCGACGGCGCUUCGAGGCG